RNAcentral lists this non-coding RNA (164 nucleotides) under Nomascus leucogenys (northern white-cheeked gibbon). RNAcentral's name for it is "Eukaryotic large subunit ribosomal RNA". It matches the Rfam family "Eukaryotic large subunit ribosomal RNA", at positions 1178 to 1348 of the family's 3401-position model. The record is from Rfam by way of RNAcentral. Lineage: Eukaryota; Metazoa; Chordata; Mammalia; Primates; Hylobatidae.
GGUGUUUGUGUUGAGCUUGCUGUUGAGCAAGCAUUAAGAGGUGGAGAAAGCGACAGCAGGACGGUGGCCAUGGAAGUCGGAAUCCGCUAAGGAGUGUGUAACAACUCACCUGCCGAAUCAGCUAGCCCUGAAAAUGGAUGGCGCUGGAGCGUCGGGCCCAUACC